RNAcentral lists this ribosomal RNA (914 nucleotides) under uncultured organism. RNAcentral describes it as "bacterial SSU rRNA". It matches the Rfam family "Bacterial small subunit ribosomal RNA", at positions 555 to 1466 of the family's 1533-position model. The record is from RNAcentral.
UGGGCGUAAAGCGCGCGUAGGCCGGUUGGUAAAGUCGAAGGUGAAAUCCUCGGGCUCAACUCGAGAAUUGCCUUCGAUACUGGCAAACUAGAGUGNCGGAGAGGAAAGCGGAACUCUUGGUGUAACGGUGGAAUGUGUAGAUAUCAAGAGGAACACCGGUGGCGAAGGCGGCUUUCUGGACGCACACUGACGCUCAGGCGCGAAAGCGUGGGUAGCAAACAGGAUUAGAUACCCUGGUAGUCCACGCCAUAAACGAUGGGUACUCGGUGUCGGGGGUAUCGACCCCUCCGGUGCCGCAGUUAACGCACUAAGUACCCCGCCUGGGGAUUAUGGUCGCAAGGCUGAAACUCAAAGGAAUUGACGGGGCCCCGCACAAGCGGUGGAGCAUGUGGUUUAAUUCGACGCAACGCGAAGAACCUUACCUGGGCUUGACAUGCUUGGGACAGCGCUGGAAACAGCGUCUCUCCUUCGGGAGCCCUUGCACAGGUGCUGCAUGGCUGUCGUCAGCUCGUGUCGUGAGAUGUUGGGUUAAGUCCCGCAACGAGCGCAACCCUCGUUACUAGUUGCCAUCAGUUCGGCUGGGCACUCUAGUGAGACUGCCGGUGAUAAACCGGAGGAAGGUGAGGAUGAUGUCAAGUCAUCAUGGCCCUUACGCCCAGGGCUACACACGUGCUACAAUGGUCGGCACAAAGGGUCGCUAAGCCGCGAGGUGGAGCUAAUCCCAAAAAGCCGGCCUCAGUUCGGAUUGGAGUCUGCAACCCGACUCCAUGAAGGCGGAAUCGCUAGUAAUCGCGGAUCAGCAUGCCGCGGUGAAUAUGUUCCCGGGGCUUGUACACACCGCCCGUCAUAUCACCCGAGUCGGGGAUACCCGAAGUCCGUGACCCAACCAUUUGGAGGGAGCGGCCGAAGGUGUG